RNAcentral lists this ribosomal RNA (253 nucleotides) under uncultured bacterium. Its description in RNAcentral is "partial 16S ribosomal RNA". It matches the Rfam family "Bacterial small subunit ribosomal RNA", at positions 524 to 776 of the family's 1533-position model. The record is from RNAcentral.
UACGUAGGUGGCAAGCGUUGUCCGGAUUUACUGGGCGUAAAGGGUGCGUAGGCGGUCGGGUAAGUCUGACGUGAAAUCUUCAAGCUUAACUUGGAAACUGCGUCGGAUACUAUUCGGCUCGAGGAAUGGAGGGGAGACUGGAAUACUUGGUGUAGCAGUGAAAUGCGUAGAUAUCAAGUGGAACACCAGUGGCGAAGGCGAGUCUCUGGACAUUUCCUGACGCUGAGGCACGAAAGCCAGGGGAGCAAACGGG